AGACCCGAAACCCGGUGAUCUAGCCAUGGGCAGGUUGAAGGUUGGGUAACACUAACUGGAGGACCGAACCGACUAAUGUUGAAAAAUUAGCGGAUGACCUGUGGCUGGGGGUGAAAGGCCAAUCAAACCGGGAGAUAGCUGGUUCUCCCCGAAAGCUAUUUAGGUAGCGCCUCGUGAAUUCAUCUCCGGGGGUAGAGCACUGUUUCGGCUAGGGGGCCAUCCCGGCUUACCAACCCGAUGCAAACUGCGAAUACCGGAGAAUGUUAUCACGGGAGACACACGGCGGGUGCUAACGUCCGUCGUGAAGAGGGAAACAACCCAGACCGCCAGCUAAGGUCCCAAAGUCAUGGUUAAGUGGGAAACGAUGUGGGAAGGCCCAGACAGCCAGGAUGUUGGCUUAGAAGCAGCCAUCAUUUAAAGAAAGCGUAAUAGCUCACUGGUCGAGUCGGCCUGCGCGGAAGAUGUAACGGGGCUAAACCAUGCACCGAAGCUGCGGCAGCGACGCUUAUGCGUUGUUGGGUAGGGGAGCGUUCUGUAAGCCUGUGAAGGUGGCCUGUGAGGGUUGCUGGAGGUAUCAGAAGUGCGAAUGCUGACAUAAGUAACGAUAAAGCGGGUGAAAAGCCCGCUCGCCGGAAGACCAAGGGUUCCUGUCCAACGUUAAUCGGGGCAGGGUGAGUCGACCCCUAAGGCGAGGCCGAAAGGCGUAGUCGAUGGGAAACGGGUUAAUAUUCCCGUACUUGGUGUUACUGCGAAGGGGGGACGGAGAAGGCUAUGUUGGCCGGGCGACGGUUGUCCCGGUUUAAGCGUGUAGGUGUGUGUUCCAGGUAAAUCCGGUUCACUUUAACACUGAGGCGUGAUGACGAGGCACUAUGGU
Molecule: ribosomal RNA, 874 nt
Filed under: Salmonella enterica subsp. enterica
Lineage: Bacteria; Pseudomonadati; Pseudomonadota; Gammaproteobacteria; Enterobacterales; Enterobacteriaceae
Description: partial 23S ribosomal RNA
Rfam family: Bacterial large subunit ribosomal RNA
Source: RNAcentral